ACGUGCGUGCGCAUACACACUACCCCUCACCUCGCUGCUGCUGCUGUGACAGCUCCACGGACCCUGCCCAGUCGCUGCUCCCCCGCCACUCGCCUCUGUCCCCCGCACGAGGGUACCUACGACGUGCCGGCCACCCCGCUCUGCCCGAUAAGCUGAGCUGGUGCUCACGCCCCAGCAAUCCCGCCCACGGAUCUGCUGCCGCGCCGCACUGCUCUUGACGCUGGCUGCGAAUGACGCUGUGCGUGCGUCGGCUGGUGCUGGCGGCGACCCUCGCCGCUGUGGUGGCGCUGCUGCUGUGCACGAGCAGUGCGCCGGUGGCGCGUGCCGCUGGGAAGGACGACUUCACUCCUGAGCAGCGGACGAACACGCUGAAGGUGCUGCAGGCGUUCGGGCGUGCGAUCCCUGAGCUUGGGAAGAAGUGGAUAGGCAACGACUUCUGCGCGUGGGAGUACAUCAAGUGCUACUCCUCCGCCGUCAGCUUGUGGAUGGACAGCGUGGAUUAUGCCGGCACGCUGCCGGAGAUGCCUGCGGACGUCGACUACACGAACGUCGUGAUCACGCAGCUCGACUUCAGCGCAAUGGGCCAGAGGCUGAGCGGGACGCUGCCCGCCUCGUGGAGCUCGAUGACAUCGCUGAUGUCGUUGUGGCUUGAAAGGUGCGAACGUGUCACCGGCACUCUGCCCGCCUCGUGGAGCUCGAUGAAAGCGCUGAGCAGUCUCAAUCUGCAUGGCACUCAGGUCUCCGGCAGUCUGCCGCCGCAGUGGAGCUCGAUGACAUCGCUGGCCACGCUUUCUCUGCGGCUCACGAAGGUCUCCGGCAGUCUGCCGCCCCAGUGGAGCUCGAUGGCAUCGCUGACCCUUCUCGAUCUGCAGGGCGCUAAGGUCUCCGGCAGUCUGCCGUCCGAGUGGAGUGGGAUGAAGAGUGCCGAGGUCCUGCAGCUGCAGGACUGCGACCUGUCCGGCAGUCUGCCCUCCUCGUGGUCUGCGAUGCCGAAGCUGCGGGAAGUCUUACUGAGCGGCAACCACUUCUGCGGGUGUGUGCCUGAGUCGUGGGACCGGAAGGCCGGUCUCAGUGUGGACAUCGAGGACGAGCACAAGGGCAGCAAGUGCAAGCUUGAUAACCAAUGCCGCCCGAAAGCCACGCCUACUCCUGCCCCCGAGACGGAGUGCGAGGUGGAUGGGUGUGAGGUGUGCGAGGGGGACUCCGCGGCGAGGUGCGCCAGGUGCCGUGAGGGCUACUUCCUGACGAGCGAGAAGACGUGCCGGGUCAACCGCGAUGGCGGCGUUGCGGCCGCGUCGAGCGGAGCGGCUGCUGCCGCUGCUGUGUGCAUGGCUGUGCUGCUGAGCGUGGGGCUGGCGGCGUGAGGAUGCCGCUGCUGUCGCGCGCAGGCGGCGGCACCCGCUGCGUGGCACACGGCUGCGUGCGUGCCUGUGGGCUGAUGGGGGCAGAGCGCGGGUGUGUGUGGAGCGGGGCAGCCGCUGGAGAGAGGGGGAGGGCGAUAGCGGAGGCGCAAGGGCCGCGGUGUUUGUGCGGCCAUGUGCGGGUGUGCGGCACACGCGGCGCUGCGUGCAUCGGCUUUGGACCGACAGCCCGCACCCCCUUCCGUCGCCUCCACUUCUCCCUCGCUCCCUCGUUGCACGUGAGAGGCGCGCACCCAUGGCUGCUGCGGCGCACACGCAAGGCAGCGUGUAUUGUGUCUCGGUGCGACCUCUGCAUGGCGGCCCCGCUCUGCGACACCUUGUUGCCCGGGCACUCCGGCGGCGUGCGCUCUGUCCCCCUCUCCUGUCACGUGUCGUGAUGCGCUGCUGCGCUGAGGAUGCGUGCACACGGCCUGCCAGCACGGCUGCUGCACGAGCCGCAGCAAUGGCGUACAGCAGGGUGUGGGCGUCGGGCGCAGUGCUGGUCUGGUGAGGCGGACCCCUCUUAUCUGUGGUGCCCCUGCUGCCUCCCCUCCCCCUCGGCACGACGCCCUCGCUGCCCUCUCACCCCCGGCUGCUACAGGAGAGACCGACGCCCACGCGCGGACGCAGACACACACCGUCGUGCACCGUUCGCGCUUUCCCCCGCUGUCGCGCCGGCACGGAUGCACGAGGAUGCGGGGGCGUGCGCACGUAUGUGCGUGUGUGCGUGCCGGCUGUUGUCUGUCGCUCUCUCUCUGCGACCAGCACUCGGCACCCGCGCCGAUGGAAUGUGUGCGCGGCGGUGGAGGCUCGCCUUGGGCCGCGGGUGCGGACGUCCGCCACUGGCUGUCUGCGGUGCGGGCUGCUGUGCUGCAGCGCCUCGAGGCCCCCUCUCCCGCCAGGGCGAGCGAGCGAGCCUCUGCUGCCGUGUGGGCGACGCACGCAUGCACCGUCCGGGCCUCUUCAACGUGCUUCGAUAGCGGUGCUGUGUUUUGGCCGUGUGGGCGGGUGCUGCGGUGGCGCCUGGUGUGGCUGUGCUGGCACGCCUUGCCGCGCCCCUUGCGCCGCUGCCAUCGGCGGCUUCGUCGCUGACGUUGCCGCUCGCACGCGUGCUCGGGUCGUCUGUGCAGCAGCGGUGGUGUGCCGGAGUCGGCGGCACGCCGUCGAACCCUGAUUGGCGCCUCCGCCAGGUGCGACGGGGAGGCUGGGGGAUGGGGAGGGCGUGGGCGCCCUCGUGCGCGGCAUGCGGGGAUGCGCGUGCGGCGGCGCUCUACUGCGCUGAGUAGUGAGGCUCGGUGCACGCGGCGCGAUGACACGCAGCCUCGCUACCGGGCCACCCCGCUGUGCGUACGCAGCGGGUGAGCAGGCCCGUGCUCUCCCCUGCGCCUUGCCCCUCUCCCCCACCCUCCUCUCUCGCAUGCCGGCGAGGGAGGGGUGGCACGUGCGCGUGUGCCGCUGCGCUUGCGAGUGCGUCUGUGCGUGGGCCCUCACCACGUGCUCCGGUCACGCCUUUUCGGCUGGCCACUCGCGGCGCUGAGGGCGGUGUGCCCCUCCCCCGAGCGCCGUCGCACUCUCUUCCACGCGCCUGCGCGGGCUUCUUCGUGUGCUGUGCUCAGCCGUGCGCUCUCACCUCUUUCCCUUUUCAUUCGCUUGUCUUCUCUCUUCUCCCCGCACUGCGGUCUCCCCUCCUCUGCCGUGCGGUGCGCAGGCGGGUGACUUGCCGUUGCGUCUCCCCCUUUCGUGGAGCGCUGAGCCGAUCCCCCUUCGGCCUCCCUCCUCCCUCCUCCCGUGUGGGUCCUGUCUGUUGUACAUCGUCGGACCGUCUCUUCGUGUUGCUUCUCCGCCCCUUCCACAAAUCUGCGCUCGCCUGUGCCGCCGCUCGGACUUGAGCCUUACUGUGAUUGUAUUCUCACGGUGCGUCUCCGUGUGUGUGUGUGUGCCACGCACCGCUUCUUCCAUGUGUGUCCUUGCUUGCUCUCGUCUGCCCCCCCCCCCCCCCUCUGCCUCACACAUUCCGUGCGUGUGUGCAUCACCGUUGGGCGGCGACAUCGGUGCCCGUCCCUGCCACCCUCUACUCCCUCAUUCGCAUCUUGCCACUUCGUGGGCGGUGCGUGCAUGCAUGGAUGUAUAUACACGCAUAGAGGGGUGGGGACGCGUGCGUGUGUGCGCGUACACACGCAUGUGUGUCGGUGCACCACUAUAUAUAUGUGUGUGUGCGUGUACGCCGACAGACAGGUGUGUGGGUGCGCAUGUACAUGUAGACAUGCGUAUCGAUGUAUAUAGCCAACCGCGUGCCGUGUGUAGGCGUGUGUGCGUGUAUAUCAGUGUGUGCCGGCACGUGUGUCGCGCCACGCUCUCUUGCCCGCCUCCCCUGUGCCUGUCACUCGCUCUGGGCGCGCUGGCGGCGGGCGCCGGGUGGUGGCCGCGCGGAAGGUGGGCGGCGGCUCUUCCCUAUUUCUGUCUUUCUCUAUUUCUCUGUUUCCUACUCGCGUGAACAAACG
This 3901-nucleotide unclassified non-coding RNA is filed under the name Leishmania donovani. RNAcentral describes it as "gene:LdHU3.12.1290(CDS-product:surface_antigen_pr otein_2_putative)". Lineage: Eukaryota; Euglenozoa; Kinetoplastea; Trypanosomatida; Trypanosomatidae. The record is from RNAcentral.